GAUUGAACGCUGGCGGCAGGCCUAACACAUGCAAGUCGAGCGGUAACAUUUCUAGCUUGCUAGAAGAUGACGAGCGGCGGACGGGUGAGUAAUACUUGGGGAUCUGCCUGAUGGCGGGGGACAACCACUGGAAACGGUGGCUAAUACCGCAUAAUGCCUACGGGCCAAAGUGUGGGACCUUCGGGCCACAUGCCAUCAGAUGAACCCAAGCGAGAUUAGCUAGUUGGUGAGGUAACGGCUCACCAAGGCGACGAUCUCUAGCUGGUCUGAGAGGAUGAUCAGCCACACUGGGACUGAGACACGGCCCAGACUCCUACGGGAGGCAGCAGUGGGGAAUAUUGGACAAUGGGCGCAAGCCUGAUCCAGCCAUGCCGCGUGUGUGAAGAAGGCCUUCGGGUUGUAAAGCACUUUCAGUGGUGAGGAAGGCCUUGUCGUUAAUAGCGGCAAGGAUUGACGUUAGCCACAGAAGAAGCACCGGCUAACUCCGUGCCAGCAGCCGCGGUAAUACGGAGGGUGCGAGCGUUAAUCGGAAUUACUGGGCGUAAAGCGCACGUAGGCGGUUUGUUAAGCAAGAUGUGAAAGCCCAGGGCUCAACCUUGGAAUUGCAUUUUGAACUGGCAAGCUAGAGUUUUGAAGAGGGUGGUAGAAUUUCCAGUGUAGCGGUGAAAUGCGUAGAUAUUGGAAGGAAUACCAGUGGCGAAGGCGGCCACCUGGUCAAAAACUGACGCUGAGGAGCGAAAGCGUGGGGAGCAAACAGGAUUAGAUACCCUGGUAGUCCACGCCGUAAACGAUGUCAACUAGUUGUUCGUGUCUUUGAGACGUGAGUAACGCAGCUAACGCACUAAGUGACCGCCU
This 855-nucleotide ribosomal RNA is filed under the name Idiomarinaceae bacterium. RNAcentral's name for it is "bacterial SSU rRNA". It matches the Rfam family "Bacterial small subunit ribosomal RNA", at positions 27 to 874 of the family's 1533-position model. The record is from RNAcentral. Lineage: Bacteria; Pseudomonadati; Pseudomonadota; Gammaproteobacteria; Alteromonadales; Idiomarinaceae.